UCUUUAAUGGAGAGUUUGAUCCUGGCUCAGGACGAACGCUGGCGGCGUGCCUAAUACAUGCAAGUCGAGCGGGGUUGUUGUGGAAGCUUGCUUCUACAAC
Molecule: ribosomal RNA, 100 nt
Filed under: Paenibacillus terrae
Lineage: Bacteria; Bacillati; Bacillota; Bacilli; Caryophanales; Paenibacillaceae
Description: partial 16S ribosomal RNA
Rfam family: Bacterial small subunit ribosomal RNA
Source: RNAcentral